Molecule: ribosomal RNA, 233 nt
Filed under: uncultured bacterium
Lineage: Bacteria
Description: partial 16S ribosomal RNA
Rfam family: Bacterial small subunit ribosomal RNA
Source: RNAcentral
UGAGGAACAUGACCUUCGGCGGGGGAUAGCCGGCCCAACGGCCGGGUAAUACCGCGUACGUACCACAUGGGGACAUCCCUGAGUGGUGAAAGCAGCAAUGCGCCGAUGGAGUGCCUCGCGGCCUAUCAGCUAGUUGGUGAGGUAACGGCUCACCAAGGCGACGACGGGUAGCUGGUCUGAGAGGAUGGCCAGCCACAUUGGGACUGAGACACGGCCCAGACUNUACCGGGAGG